This 276-nucleotide ribosomal RNA is filed under the name uncultured Parvimonas sp. RNAcentral's name for it is "partial 16S ribosomal RNA". It matches the Rfam family "Bacterial small subunit ribosomal RNA", at positions 80 to 355 of the family's 1533-position model. The record is from RNAcentral. Lineage: Bacteria; Bacillati; Bacillota; Tissierellia; Tissierellales; Peptoniphilaceae.
UGAGAUUUAACGAAAGUGGCGAACGGGUGAGUAACACGUGAGCAACCUGCCUUACACAGGGGGAUAGCCAUUGGAAACGGUGAUUAAUACCCCAUAAGACCACAAUACCGCAUGGUAAAAGGGUAAAAGGGAUACCGGUGUAAGAUGGGCUCGCGUCUGAUUAGCUAGUUGGUGGGGUAAAGGCCUACCAAGGCGACGAUCAGUAGCCGGUCUGAGAGGAUGAACGGCCACAUUGGAACUGAGACACGGUCCAAACUCCUACGGGAGGCAGCAGUA